UCAUAAAUUUACUACUACCGUGGAUUGAACAUCAGAGGGUAAAAUGGCCACAUCGAAGCAAUUCAUCUAAAAAAGCAAUAUUGCAAUUUGACAUUCGCGCAUGUAAAAGUAAGUGCGCAAUGCAAACAAAUGUCAAAUAGCAAUAUUGCUUUCUAAGAUGAAUUGCUUCGAUGUGGCCAUUUUAACCCCCCCAGUGCUCAAAAAGUGGGACGCACAGUUACUGUUAAUAUAGCGACGUUGACAGUACUUUACCUGCGCAAUGCAAACAAAUGUGCGAUUAGGCGCCGAACUGGCAACACGGAAGUGUGUGGUAAAAACUUGCAAAAAUAUAAACUCACAGCGAAAUAAGAAGGAUGGAACAUCAUAAUUCUAAUAAGUAAUGACAUUGUGCAUGUUAUCAUAGUAUAAACAUUUUAUUUUUUACAGUAAACCCCACAAAAAAUAUUAUUUUCGUUUAAAAUAUACGUCGUUUAGAACGGCAACUUUCCGCUCCCCACCAUCGGCUGAGCUAGGUUUACCUCAGCCCUAGGUCUUACUUUCGUCGUCAAUUGCGUAGUUUCGUAGGUCAAAGAUAAAUUAUGAAAUUUAGUUUAAAGUACUAAAUAAAGACAGAUGUAAAGGUGACAAAAACGUUUUCUUUUUUCGUUAUUUUAAGUUAGGUACGUAGUUAUACCUGUCAUUUUCUUAUUGUAAUCGACAAGAAUAAAAUUUAUGGAGCACACGUCACUUUUACGCAGAAAUUUAAAACAACAACCCUCUAAAAAAUGUACAUUGGCCAAUAGCCCGACAGAAUUAAAUUGACAGCACACAUUAAAGGGGUUGCAUACCAGCGAGAUAACUAUUUAAUUCGCUCGGGUAAUUCAUUCAUUCACCCAUUCAAUUCAAAAUCCAAAACAGUUGUCAAUCAUCCGUCCCAUUCCUUUUCCGCAGAUGACGGGUAUAACUUAAAAAAUAAAAAUUAGGUGACUGCAGGAAUCGGGGCCAUUGGCAUUCUAAGCUUCAACAAAAAACUACGUAGGUACUAUCGAUUAAGGGUACUUACUUAAAUAAAUACAUAUACCCGGCUUUUCGGCGGGAAACGGGAACGGGACAGUUGCUUUCUUCAUUGAGUAAUCUAAAUAAUUAAUACGAAGUGGUGUUUUGUGGAAGACAUUCGCGAGUGUUAUUAUAUUGGAGUAUUCAAUAAACAAAGUGUAUCUGCCUAUUUUCGCUUCGUGCCGGGAAGCCGCUUCAUAACUCAAAAGUUUAUGCGGACUUUUGAGUUAAUUCGUUUGGGGUUCGGAGUAGGAGUCUACUCCGAGGGUGGGGGCUUAGGUUUCAUCAUCAUCACCUUUCAUCAUUUCAUUAAUCAUCAAGAAAAAAAAAUACGUCAGACAUGGCUGUAUGGGCAUAGUUCCCUUUGCCUUACCCUUCGGGGAAAACCAAAACAAAAAAAAAUAAAUAAAUAAAUAUACCCUUACGAAAAUUCUAAACGAAGGGUAGUAUGCAAAAGAAAUGACAGACUGCGUCGCGUCAGUUCGUCAAGGUACGCCGCGCGGAGCAGACGUCGCUUGUCGCUACGGCUAGCUCCGAUGUCAACCGUCGGUUGGUCCGGUUAUCCAUCUAUUUUUUCGCUAAAGUAUCUAUCGACUAAUAAUUUUUGAGAGUGAAUUGUGAAGAAUCCAGACACAAAGACGGUAGUACCGGUUAUGGCGCAUAGCAACGGGGAUGUAAAGUAAGAAGUAAAAGAUAGUCUACUUAAAGACUAUCCCGGAUGCCUGCCUCUCUACCAGCCCAGGAGAGUAGAUUACAUUGGCUUGAAGAAAUACUCUUUGAAGAAUUUUGAAGCCCUGGCUUGUGGAUGGAGGGCAUACAAGGAUACCUUCUUCGGCCGCAAGAAGAUGCCUUUCGAGUUUCCUAGAGCGCAAGAUUUCCAUGUCUACAACGGCCACGUGAUUUACGACCCGACGAGCUCGAUCGAUUAUCGACCAAAUUAUCGAUUUCACAUGCGAGCGGGCCCCGGACUCGAUCAUUUGCGUCAACUGCCCAUCCCUAACGACACAUCACUACGACCGAAGGCGGGAAAAGACACCAUGAAACAUAGAGUUCAGCACAAGAAAAAGUUUGUUUUUUAAAUUUUUGUGUUUGGUAUUUUUUGGGUGAAUUUUUGGACUUGCCUCUAGAACGGCGCGCUUGGAUAGUUCUCCGAACACCGGAAGUCAAUGCCAUUACCGUGAAAGCAAAUAUUUCGUAGAAUCUUUUGUCUUUUUGCAAAUAUUUAGGACUUUAUGUGGUCGACGAUUUCCCUCAUUCAGCGCUUAUCGCUAUCGACCCACCAGGGUCGAUUAAUUCUUUCAAAUACUUAUUGUUCCUCUCAGACGACGCCCUGAGCCGAGGUGCGCGCCCAAUAGGGCACCCUAAGGCCGGUUGUCUUAAAUUUUGUACUGGGUGAGACCCUCAGUGCUCCCCAUUUGUCCGGCCAAGUAGUUAAUGCCAUCUGCGGCAAAAAUAUAAUACUUAAGUCACUUCAAAAACAUAUAAAAAAAUAACAUUUUAUGUAUGUCGUCAACUUAUGUAAGUCCUAACUGGAUAUUUGCGAAAACUACAAAUAUUCUAGGAUACUUUUGCAUUAACGGUAAUGACUGGUACGACGCAACGAUAUUGACUGGUGUUCAAAGUUCUACCUUUUCGUGCGAAUUCAACUCGUCGUAUACGUCAAGAAUAUGUAAGAAAGGAACAUUCUCGUCCUCUCAAGUGCUAUGGGACUUUGGGAUAGUGCGCACGAGUUGGUUGUCAUGGACCAUUGUUUUUUUUAUUGUUUUUUCUUUUUAUACUCUUUAUUGUUCGUAAGUACGUGUUCGCGCGAAAUUAAUUCGAACGAAAAUAAAUCUAUUUGUACGUAAUUUUCUUGGCGCAUAUUUUUUAACGACAAAGCGUCAGAAAUUUCGCCAUACGGCCUCUUUCUUGAUCGAAUCAAAUAGAGUCGACAACACUUUAAAAAACAUACAAGAUGGCGCCAACGAAAUUACAUGAGUACCAACUUUAAAAAAAUCACCCAAGUAAAUGACCUAAUGACACAAAGGCGCCAAAAUAACAGUCAUUUUGAAACGCAAAAAGUAGCCCGGUAAAUAACUCUAAUUUUAUUAUUCUCAUUGUUUAUUUUUGUAGUUAUUUAUU
This 3156-nucleotide unclassified non-coding RNA is filed under the name Pectinophora gossypiella (pink bollworm). Its description in RNAcentral is "uncharacterized LOC126379006". The record is from RNAcentral. Lineage: Eukaryota; Metazoa; Arthropoda; Insecta; Lepidoptera; Gelechiidae.